AAUAGAUACCCGGUAGUCCACGCCGUAAACGAUGGAUGCUAGCCGUUGGUGGGUUUACCCUUCAGUGGCGCAGCUAACGCAUUAAGCAUCCCGCCUGGGGAGUACGGUCGCAAGAUUAAAAUUCAAAGGAAUUGACGGGGGCCCGCACAAGCGGUGGAGCAUGUGGUUCAAUUCGAAGCAACGCGCAGAACCUUACCAGCCUUUGACAUCCCGGUCGCGAGCACCAGAGAUGGAGCUCUUCAGUUCGGCUGGACCGGAGACAGGUGCUGCAUGGCUGUCGUCAGCUCGUGUCGUGAGAUGUUGGGUUAAGUCCCGCAACGAGCGCAACCCUCGCCCUUAGUUGCCAGCAUUCAGUUGGGCACUCUAAGGUGACUGCCGGUGACAAACCGGAGGAAGGUGGGGAUGACGUCAAAUCAUCAUGCCCCUUAUGACCUGGGCUACACACGUGCUACGAUGGAUGGUACAAAGGGCAGCAAAACCGCGAGGUCGAGCCAAUCCCAUAAAACCCGAUUCUCAGUUCGG
Molecule: ribosomal RNA, 522 nt
Filed under: uncultured bacterium
Lineage: Bacteria
Description: bacterial SSU rRNA
Rfam family: Bacterial small subunit ribosomal RNA
Source: RNAcentral